Long non-coding RNA from Argiope bruennichi, 432 nucleotides. RefSeq lists it as uncharacterized. The record is from RefSeq and is a predicted model, not a curated record. The transcript is spliced from 4 exons. NCBI's taxonomy places the organism in Eukaryota, Metazoa, Arthropoda, Arachnida, Araneae, Araneidae.
GGACAGUUGUGGCUGGUAGUUGAAUUGAAAUUUUCAAUAAGCCAUUCAAACGUUGUUUUCUGAAAUUGAAUUUUUUGAAGAUGCUGUUCAGCAGGAAAUCAGUGGCUAUGUAUAACAUGUAUAUUUCUAUCCUUUUUAUUCUGCUAGCAUUAUUUCAUUUUGGAUAUGCUGCACCAGGAGCAUUGAAAGAAGCGGAGAUUUUAACGAAAGACGUUUUUCUUGGUAUUAUCGAGCCUCCCAUAACGAUUCUACCCGGGAUAAAGGCAUAAAAAUAAGCAAUUCAGAAGAAAUAACAAUUAUGUGUUUUGCAGUGCACCAUUUUUGGGAAAUGGGUUUUGAAAAUAGUAAGAAAAUAAUCCUGUAAGAAGUAAAUUUAAUUCCUAUAGUGUGAAUGGUCUGAACAAUUUUUUUUCUGGAAUAUAUUCAUGAAGA